This 481-nucleotide long non-coding RNA is filed under the name Mus caroli (Ryukyu mouse). Its description in RNAcentral is "lncRNA (MGP_CAROLIEiJ_G0005871.1)". Lineage: Eukaryota; Metazoa; Chordata; Mammalia; Rodentia; Muridae. The record is from RNAcentral.
CCAGGGCCUGAGAUGCCCGACUCGGUCCCAAGGGCUCCACGUGAGACCCUAGGGUUUUAUACAGCAGCAUAAGGAGGCAGAGAACUGUAAAGGUGGACACUGAGUUUACAACUCAUGCUGAAGCAGCGUCAGAAUUAGGAAAAGAAGAGCUGUAUGCAGCACCCAGGGGCCCCUGGAUCACUUUCCUACCAGGUUUUUACAGGAGAGAGUCUGGCUCCACUGCCAGGGAAGGACCAACUCUGAUUGGCAGAGAAGCAUCUUACAGGCCUUUCCUUUAACUUCUUUCAUCUAACUCUUCCUGAUCCUGCAUGGUAACUCAUCUAACUGGUGAUAUAACUGGUGAAGUGGGCGUCUGAACCACCUUCCUCUCCUUAUUCCUCCGUUUCACAUUCCCCCAGGCUGUCAAGUAGCUCAGAAUCCCUUUUGACUACUUUGAGAUUUUAGGUUUUGAUUCCUUCAAAGGGCUUGCCCAGACUGGACA